GAUGAACGCUGGCGGCGUGCCUAAUACAUGCAAGUCGAGCGAACGGACGAGAAGCUUGCUUUUCUGAUGUUAGCGGCGGACGGGUGAGUAACACGUGGAUAACCUACCUAUCAGACUGGGAUAACUUCGGGAAACCGGAGCUAAUACCGGAUAAUAUUUUGAACCGCAUGGUUCAAAAGUGAAAGACGGUCUUGCUGUCACUUAUAGAUGGAUCCGCGCUGCAUUAGCUAGUUGGUAAGGUCACGGCUUACCAAGGGAACGAUGCAGAGCCGACCUGAGAGGGUGAUCGGCCACACUGGAACUGAGACACGGUCCAGACUCAUACGGGAGGCAGCAGUAGGGAAUCGUCCGCAAUGGGCGAAAGCCUGACGGAGCAACGCCGCGUGAGUGAUGAGGGUCUUCGGAUCGUAAAACUCUGUUAUUAGGGAAGAACAUAUGUGUAAGUAACUGUGCACAUCUUGACGGUACCUAAUCAGAAAGCCACGGCUAACUACGUG
Molecule: ribosomal RNA, 497 nt
Filed under: uncultured bacterium
Lineage: Bacteria
Description: partial 16S ribosomal RNA
Rfam family: Bacterial small subunit ribosomal RNA
Source: RNAcentral